AGACCAUAGAUAGAGAGAGGAGAGAGGAACUCGAAAGUCCAAAAUGGCGUCGUCGAUAGCUCAAUCGCCGCCUUUCCCAUGUGCAGCCAACCGAUUCUCCGUGCUACCCUCAACACGCUGCUUCUCUCAAAUGGGCGGAGGCAGGAUUUGGUCAUUGGGCGGGCCAGAGUAGGGUGGUGCGGACCUUACACUACUGCAGCACUUUUAACGGCAUAUCUGCAUCUGGAAGAUUCUUCCCACAGAUCUCAAGCACCUCAGAACGAACACGAGCUUGCCAUUCUGGAUAUGCAGCCAAUAACAUCAAGCACCAUGAUGCUGAUACAGCUGUGGUCUCAUGGCC
Camellia sinensis is the source of this 340-nucleotide long non-coding RNA. RefSeq lists it as uncharacterized. The record is from RefSeq and is a predicted model, not a curated record. NCBI's taxonomy places the organism in Eukaryota, Viridiplantae, Streptophyta, Magnoliopsida, Ericales, Theaceae.